GAGGCGGGACUCACCUCCCCCGAUUUGAACUAGGAUUUUCUGUCGGCCGAUGACACCACAGCGAGACGAACCGGUUGACACUUGACAGGAAAGCAACAAGAGUGACCCUGACAGCCAGGAGAGGAGAGGCUGUUGACAAGUUGUGUUCACAUUUUUGUUUAUUCCAAUCGACUUUGUAUUAUUAUUAUUUUUUAAUUGAAGAGUACAGCGGUGAAAUGGCUGCGCUGUAUGCCUGCACGAAGUGUAACCAAAGAUGCCCGUUCGAGGCGCUGUCUCAGGGACAGCAGCUGUGCAAGGAGUGUCGAAUUGCACAUCCUAUGGUUAAGUGCACGUACUGCAGGACAGAGUUUCAGCAGGAAAGUAAAACCAACACCAUCUGUAAGAAAUGUGCACAGAACGUGAAACUGUAUGGCACACCCAAACCCUGCCAGUACUGUAACAUAAUCGCCACGUUCAUCGGUAACAAAUGCCAGCGCUGCACAAACUCAGAGAAGAAGUACGGCCCCCCCCACACGUGCGAGCAGUGCAGGCAGCACUGUGCCUUCGACAGGAAGGACGACAGGAAGAAGGUGGACGGGAAGCUGCUGUGCUGGCUCUGCACCCUCUCCUACAAGAGGGUCCUCCAGAAGACCAAAGAGCAGCGCAAGCACCUGAGCUCCUCCUCUCACACAGCCCUGCAGGAGAAGGAGCAGCUCACCUGGCUCAGCGAUGCCAGCCACUACAACAGUCAGAAGACUUUGUCCACCUCGUCCAUUCAGAAUGAAAUUCCAAAGAAAAAGCCCAAGUUUGACGCCAUCAUAGCCAAUGGGGACAGCUUCUCCCCGGACCUGGCCCUGGACUCCCCCGGCACAGACCACUUUGUCAUCAUGUCCCAGCUGAAGGAGGAGGUGGCCACGCUCAAGAAGAUGCUGCACCAGAAAGACCAGCUCAUCCUGGAGAAGGAGAAGAAGAUCACAGAGCUGAAGGCUGAAUUCCAGUACCAGGAGAAUCAGAUGAGGUCCAAGAUGAACCAGAUGGAGAAAAUGCACAAGGAGGUUGUGGAGCAACAGCAGGCCCGCAACAGGGAGCUCAUGAAGCAGGUGGCCGCUCUGUCGAAAGGGAAAAAGCCAGAGAAAGCAGGAGCAAUGACAUCACCCUGAGACCGACAAGACAGCUCAGCUCUCCACCACAAGAGGGCAAGGCUGGUGCUGUACAGUCACUAUGAAAUACACACCUGGAGGUCCUGAGUGUCUCCCUGGUAGAAGCUCAGCCGUGUGGUUUGCACGGUGAGUCAUACAGUCGGGAGCACAGGUUCUUGUCCUGGCUGCGCAGAGUCGCCGGUCUUCGCUGGGGAUUCUGGAGGGAGCGUUGCAUUGGCUCUGGCCCUCCCGCUGGUUAGGGAGGCAAAGCCAGGACUGUUUCUCCUCAUCGCGCUACAGCGGACCCUACUGGCCAGGUGCCCAGUGAGCUCAGGCAGGACCUGCAGGGCUGGCCUUUGUCCUCCAGGGGCCGGUAGCUCGCUGACCCGCUCUCGAGUUCCUGGGUGUAGAAGAGGAAGCUGGCUUGGUCGUGGGAUCAGAGGACGCCCGCUGAACCUUCAGUUCUGCUGAGCUGUGAGGGGAAUUGGAAAUUCUAAAUUGGCAAGAAAAUUGGGGGUAAAAUAAUUGGGCAGCACUGUAAAUUUAAAAAUAAAUAAAAAAUGCACACCUUUUUAUUCCCAUUAAAAUUCUGCGUAGUUACCAAUGAUGAGGUUUCAAUGUGUUCUGUGAGGGUUUACUUCCUAAAUGCUCUUUGUGAUGUCUGUGCUGUGAAUAAAUACAUGCAGAUCAGAUCGACCCUUUACAUACUAACUUUUUAUCUGAAGCCUGACAUUUCUUUCCGUUUGGUCAAAUGUCUGGUUUCACUUACGUACUGUGUCGUUGUCACCUGAAUUCGGUUUUCUCCUUUUGUUUUCUCUGUGUUUAAACCUGCAUGGGUCUCAGGUAUGCACUUUGUAAUAUGGUGGCUUUUAAACAUACAUACAGGUAUGUAGUGUAUAGUAUUUUAUAAAACAGAUGCUAUUUCUAAUGCCCUUGCCAAGGAACUUAGAGAGCAAUAUUGGGAUUUCUGUGUUCUGUUUAUAUACUCUGUUACAGACUAGGCCUACAUUGAACACGUAGGUAAAGGGUGCUAUUGUAUACUGGUAUAAUAUACAGAAUAUUGGCUGUACUGCAGUUUUCUGUAUUUAAUAAAGUACAUUUAUCCUCGCU
This is an RNA transcript of Acipenser ruthenus (sterlet), 2228 nucleotides long. It is a transcript of the gene named protein FAM76A, with no coding region annotated. The transcript is spliced from 10 exons. The record is from RefSeq and is a predicted model, not a curated record. NCBI's taxonomy places the organism in Eukaryota, Metazoa, Chordata, Actinopteri, Acipenseriformes, Acipenseridae.